UCCGUUGUCGUCCAGCGGUUAGGAUAUUUGGCUUUCACCCAGCCACCCAGGGGACCUGGGUUUGAUUCCCGGCAAUGGAA
RNAcentral lists this transfer RNA (80 nucleotides) under Ipomoea nil (Japanese morning glory). It matches the Rfam family "tRNA". Rfam says of the family: Transfer RNA (tRNA) molecules are approximately 80 nucleotides in length. Their secondary structure includes four short double-helical elements and three loops (D, anti-codon, and T loops). The record is from Rfam by way of RNAcentral. Lineage: Eukaryota; Viridiplantae; Streptophyta; Magnoliopsida; Solanales; Convolvulaceae.